CCUACGGGAGGCAGCAGUGGGGAAUAUUGCACAAUGGGGGAAACCCUGAUGCAGCGACGCCGCGUGAGUGAAGAAGGAUUUCGGUAUGUAAAGCUCUAUCAGCAGGGAAGAAAAUGACGGUACCUGACUAAGAAGCCCCGGCUAACUACGUGCCAGCAGCCGCGGUAAUACGUAGGGGGCAAGCGUUAUCCGGAUUUACUGGGGGGAAAGGGAGCGUAGACGGUUAUGCAAGUCUGAAGUGAAAGCCCACGGCUCAACCAUGGGACUGCUUUGGAAACUGUAAAACUGGCGUGCAGGAGAGGUCAGCGCACUUCCUAGUGUAGCGGUGACUUGCUUAGAUAUUAGGAGGAACACCAGUGGCGAAGGCGGCUUACUGGACUGUCACUGACGUUGCGGCUCGAAUGCGUGGGGAGCAAACAGGAUUAGAUACCCGUGUAGUC
This 440-nucleotide ribosomal RNA is filed under the name uncultured bacterium. Its description in RNAcentral is "partial 16S ribosomal RNA". It matches the Rfam family "Bacterial small subunit ribosomal RNA", at positions 338 to 795 of the family's 1533-position model. The record is from RNAcentral.